GAUGAACGCUAGCGGCAGGCCUAAUACAUGCAAGUCGAACGGUCAGUAGCAAUACUGAUAGUGGCGCACGGGUGCGUAACACGUAACUAACCUACCUAUAACUGGGGGAUAGCCCGCCGAAAGGCGGAUUAAUACCGCAUAAGCUAGUUAAACGGCAUCGUUUGAUUAGUAAAGAUUUAUUGGUUAUAGAUGGGGUUGCGGGUCAUUAGCUAGUUGGUAAGGUAACGGCUUACCAAGGCGACGAUGACUAGGGGAGCUGAGAGGCUGGUCCCCCACACGGGCACUGAGAUACGGGCCCGACUCCUACGGGAGGCAGCAGUAGGGAAUAUUGGGCAAUGGGCGAGAGCCUGACCCAGCCAUGCCGCGUGCAGGAAGAAGGCUUUCUGAGUCGUAAACUGCUUUUGACAGGGAAGAAUAAGCACUACGUGUAGUGCGAUGACGGUACCUGCAGAAUAAGCACCGGCUAACUCCGUGCCAGCAGCCGCGGUAAUACGGAGGGUGCGAGCGUUGUCCGGAUUUAUUGGGUUUAAAGGGUGCGUAGGCGGCCCGUUAAGUCCGGGGUGAAAGCCCGCUGCUCAACAGCGGAACUGCCCUGGAUACUGACGGGCUUGAGUACAGACGAGGUUGGCGGAAUGGACUGAGUAGCGGUGAAAUGCAUAGAUACAGUCC
This 669-nucleotide ribosomal RNA is filed under the name uncultured bacterium. RNAcentral's name for it is "bacterial SSU rRNA". It matches the Rfam family "Bacterial small subunit ribosomal RNA", at positions 28 to 702 of the family's 1533-position model. The record is from RNAcentral.